GAUGAACGCUGGCGGCGUGCCUAAUACAUGCAAGUCGAGCGAACGGACGAGAAGCUUGCUUCUCUGAUGUUAGCGGCGGACGGGUGAGUAACACGUGGAUAACCUACCUAUAAGACUGGGAUAACUUCGGGAAACCGUAGCUAAUACCGGAUAAUAUUUUGAACCGCAUGGUUCAAAAGUGAAAGACGGUCUUGCUGUAACUUAUAGAUGGAUCCGCGCUGCAUUAGCUAGUUGGUAAGGUAACGGGUUACCAAGGCAACGAUGCAUAGCCGACCUGAGAGGGUGAUCGGCCACACUGGAAGUGAGACACGGUCCAGACGCCUACGGGAGGCCGCAGUAUGGAAUCUGCCGCAGUGGGCGAAAGCCUGACGGAGCAGCGCCGCGUGAGUUAUGAAGGUCUUCGGAUCGUAAAACUCUGUUAUUAGGGAAGAACAGAUGUGUAAGUAACUGUGCACAGCUUGACGGUACCUAAUCAGAAAGCCACGGCUAACUACGUG
This 497-nucleotide ribosomal RNA is filed under the name uncultured bacterium. RNAcentral's name for it is "partial 16S ribosomal RNA". It matches the Rfam family "Bacterial small subunit ribosomal RNA", at positions 28 to 507 of the family's 1533-position model. The record is from RNAcentral.